Molecule: ribosomal RNA, 446 nt
Filed under: uncultured bacterium
Lineage: Bacteria
Description: partial 16S ribosomal RNA
Rfam family: Bacterial small subunit ribosomal RNA
Source: RNAcentral
CCUACGGGGAGCAGCAGUCGAGAAUCAUUCACAAUGGGGGAAACCCUGAUGGUGCGACGCCGCGUGGGGGAAUGAAGGUCUUCGGAUUGUAAACCCCUGUCAUGUGGGAGCAAAUUAAAAAGAUAGUACCACAAGAGGAAGAGACGGCUAACUCUGUGCCAGCAGCCGCGGUAAUACAGAGGUCUCAAGCGUUGUUCGGAAUCACUGGGCGUAACGCGUGCGUAGGCUGUUUCGUAAGUCGUGGGUGAAAGGCGCGGGCUCAACCCGCGGACGGCACAUGAUACUGCGAGACUAGAGUAAUGGAGGGGGAAGCGGAAUUCUCGGUGUAGCAGUGAAAUGCGUAGAUAUCGAGAGGAACACUCGUGGCGAAGGCGGGUUCCUGGACAUUAACUGACGCUGAGGCACGAAGGCCAGGGGAGCGAAAGGGAUUAGAUACCCUUGUAGUC